CAGCAGCCACGGUAAUACGUAGGUGGCAAGCGUUGUCCGGAAUUAUUGGGCGUAAAGGGCUCGCAGGCGGUUUCUUAAGUCUGAUGUGAAAGCCCCCGGCUCAACCGGGGAGGGUCAUUGGAAACUGGGAAACUUGAGUGCAGAAGAGGAGAGUGGAAUUCCACGUGUAGCGGUGAAAUGCGUAGAGAUGUGGAGGAACACCAGUGGCGAAGGCGACUCUCUGGUCUGUAACUGACGCUGAGGAGCGAAAGCGUGGGGAGCGAACAGGAUUAGAGACCCCGGUAGUCCCUGUCUCUUAUAC
RNAcentral lists this ribosomal RNA (301 nucleotides) under uncultured bacterium. RNAcentral's name for it is "partial 16S ribosomal RNA". It matches the Rfam family "Bacterial small subunit ribosomal RNA", at positions 509 to 807 of the family's 1533-position model. The record is from RNAcentral.